CCCGGUGGCUCAGCUGGUAGAGCGACGGACGAGGAUAAAAACCUCGGUUGAACCUUGUAUUGAUUUAAAGGAAAGCCGUAGGUCGCGGGUUCGAAACCCGCCCGGGG
Molecule: transfer RNA, 107 nt
Filed under: Candidatus Bathyarchaeota archaeon
Lineage: Archaea; Thermoproteati; Candidatus Bathyarchaeota
Description: tRNA-OTHER
Rfam family: tRNA
About the family: Transfer RNA (tRNA) molecules are approximately 80 nucleotides in length. Their secondary structure includes four short double-helical elements and three loops (D, anti-codon, and T loops).
Source: RNAcentral